GAUGAACGCUGGCGGCGUGCCUAAUACAUGCAAGUCGAGCGAACAGACGAGGAGCUUGCUCCUCUGACGUUAGCGGCGAACGGGUGAGUAACACGUGGAUAACCUACCUAUAAGACUGGGAUAACUUCGGGAAACCGGAGCUAAUACCGGAUAAUAUAUUGAACCGCAUGGUUCAAUAGUGAAAGACGGUUUUGCUGUCACUUAUAGAUGGAUCCGCGCCGCAUUAGCUAGUUGGUAAGGUAACGGCUUACCAAGGCGACGAUGCGUAGCCGACCUGAGAGGGUGAUCGGCCACACUGGAACUGAGACACGGUCCAGACUCCUACGGGAGGCAGCAGUAGGGAAUCUUCCGCAAUGGGCGAAAGCCUGACGGAGCAACGCCGCGUGAGUGAUGAAGGUCUUCGGAUCGUAAAACUCUGUUAUUAGGGAAGAACAAAUGUGUAAGUAACUAUGCACGUCUUGACGGUACCUAAUCAGAAAGCCACGGCUAACUACGUG
This 497-nucleotide ribosomal RNA is filed under the name uncultured bacterium. Its description in RNAcentral is "partial 16S ribosomal RNA". It matches the Rfam family "Bacterial small subunit ribosomal RNA", at positions 28 to 507 of the family's 1533-position model. The record is from RNAcentral.